RNAcentral lists this ribosomal RNA (460 nucleotides) under uncultured bacterium. Its description in RNAcentral is "partial 16S ribosomal RNA". It matches the Rfam family "Bacterial small subunit ribosomal RNA", at positions 338 to 795 of the family's 1533-position model. The record is from RNAcentral.
CCUACGGGAGGCAGCAGUGAGGAAUAUUGGUCAAUGGACGCGAGUCUGAACCAGCCAAGUAGCGUGAAGGAUGACUGCCCUAUGGGUUGUAAACUUCUUUUAUAUGGGAAUAAAAUGAGCCACGUGUGGCUUUUUGUAUGUACCUUAUGAAUAAGGAUCGGCUAACUCCGUGCCAGCAGCCGCGGUAAUACGGAGGAUCCGAGCGUUAUCCGGAUUUAUUGGGUUUAAAGGGAGCGUAGGUGGGUUGUUAAGUCAGUUGUGAAAGUUUGCGGCUCAACCGUAAAAUUGCAAUUGAUACUGGCAGUCUUGAGUACAGUUGAGGUAGGCGGAAUUCGUGGUGUAGCGGUGAAAUGCUUAGAUAUCACGAAGAACUCCGAUUGCGAAGGCAGCUUACUAAACUGCCACUGACAUUGAGGCUCGAAAGUGUGGGUAUCAAACAGGAUUAGAUACCCUAGUAGUC